Molecule: ribosomal RNA, 253 nt
Filed under: uncultured bacterium
Lineage: Bacteria
Description: partial 16S ribosomal RNA
Rfam family: Bacterial small subunit ribosomal RNA
Source: RNAcentral
UACGUAGGGUGCGAGCGUUAAUCGGAAUUACUGGGCGUAAAGCGUGCGCAGGCGGUGAUGUAAGACCGAUGUGAAAUCCCCGGGCUUAACCUGGGAACUGCAUUGGUGACUGCAUCGCUCGAGUAUGGCAGAGGGGGGUAGAAUUCCACGUGUAGCAGUGAAAUGUGUAGAGAUGUGGAGGAAUACCGAUGGCGAAGGCAGCCCCCUGGGUCAAUACUGACGCUCAUGCACGAAAGCGUGGGGAGCAAACAGG